Schistosoma mansoni is the source of this 46-nucleotide non-coding RNA. The record is from Rfam. Lineage: Eukaryota; Metazoa; Platyhelminthes; Trematoda; Strigeidida; Schistosomatidae.
ACACUACUGAGGAGUCCCACAAUAGGAUGAAACGACCGUCCAGUGC